CAGCGCGGCGGUACCGCAGAAUCGUCGAAGCUACCCGCCAGUACUGACGUAACUCAAAGGAGGAAAACGUAUUUUUGUGAAAAUGGAAGACAUAUGACAUUGGCUUUAGUCCUCUUCGGUUCCCCACUGCUAUCUGAAAGCAGUGGGGAACCUUCACAAAUCGUCGCAGUAUUAAAGGAGGAACCACCAGAUGGAAAGGCGACGAAGGGGGCUUUACUAGUGUAAAUGCAAGCACCCCUUCAUGAUCUAUGUAGAGACCCUCGAAUCAAACUGCCGGGAUACCCACACUGACACCAGCUGGGAUAUAUGGAUCUAAAACUACAACCAUAAUUUUCAAUCAAGCUGGAAUCACAGCAUUUUCUGUAGUUUGCGAAGU
Long non-coding RNA from Spodoptera litura, 376 nucleotides. RefSeq lists it as uncharacterized. The record is from RefSeq and is a predicted model, not a curated record. Lineage: Eukaryota; Metazoa; Arthropoda; Insecta; Lepidoptera; Noctuidae.